This 3705-nucleotide ribosomal RNA is filed under the name Caldilineales bacterium. RNAcentral's name for it is "23S ribosomal RNA". It matches the Rfam family "Bacterial large subunit ribosomal RNA". Lineage: Bacteria; Bacillati; Chloroflexota; Caldilineae; Caldilineales. The record is from RNAcentral.
AGGUUAAGCUACUAAGAGCUCACGGCGGAUGCCUUGGCGUCAAAUGCCGAAGAAGGACGUGGUUAGCUGCGAAAAGCCUCGGGGAGCCGCGACAGGCGUUGAUCCGGGGAUGUCCGAAUGGGGAAACCCACCUGGGGGAAUGCCCAGGUACCGCCCGUUGAACACAUAGACGGGACGGAGGGAACCGAGGGAACUGAAACAUCUAAGUACCUCGAGGAAAAGAAAUGAUUCCCUGAGUAGUGGCGAGCGAAAAGGGAAAAGCCUAAACCUGUACAGCGUGAUAGCUCGUAGGCGUUGCUGUGCGGGUGUUGUAGGACGCGGCGGGGGUCGCUACGGAGAUCCCAAAGAGUUACAAAUCUGGCUGAUAGUUGAACGACACUGGAAAGGUCGGGCAGAGCGGGUGAUACCCCCGUAAACGAAAUUAGACCAGACUCUUGCCGAUGAUCCUGAGUACCACGGGGCACGCUAAUCCUGUGGGAAGCUGGGAAGUCCACUUUCCAAGGCUAAACACAUUUGAUGACCGAUAGUGAACCAGUACCGUGAGGGAAAGGUGAAAAGCACCCCAGUGCGGGGAGUGAAAUAGAACCUGAAACCGUGAGCUUACAACCAGUCGAAGCACUAUGGCGGCUUGUCCGCCAGUGUAACGGCGUGCCUUUUGGAGAAUGAGCCAGCGAGUUACUUCUCAGUGGCGAGGUUAAGCCAGUAACAGGCGGAGCCGUAGCGAAAGCGAGUCUGAAUAGGGCGUGGGCGACCUCUGUGUCGUCUUAGUCGCUGGGAGUAGACCCGAAACCGGGUGAGCUAUCCAUGGCCAGGGUGAAGCGAGAGUAAUGUCUCGUGAAGGCCCGAACACACCAAUGUUGCAAAAUUGGGUGAUGAGCUGUGGAUAGGGGUGAAAUGCCAAUCGAACUCGGAAAUAGCUGGUUCUCCCCGAAAUAGCUUUAGGGCUAGCCUCAAGCGUUCAGUACCGGAGGUAGAGCACUGGAUGGGCUAGGGGGCUUAUCGCUUACCAAACCCAACCAAACUCCGAAUGCCGGUAUUUUAGAGCUUGGGAGUCGGACGGCGGGAGAUGAGUUUCGUCGUCGAGAGGGAAACAACCCAGAUCACCAGCUAAGGUCCCCAAGUACAAGCUAAGUGGGAAAGGAUGUGGGGUUACUGUGACAGCCAGGAGGUUGGCUUAGAAGCAGCCAUCCUUCAAAGAGUGCGUAAUAGCUUACUGGUCUAGUGAUCCUGCGCCGAAAAUGUAACGGGGCUCAAGCUUGUCACCGAAGCUGUGGGUUUGUCCGUUCUACGGAUGAACAGUAGGGGAGCGUUCUGUCCAGCUGCGAAGGUCGAUCGUAAGGACGGCUGGAGCGGACAGAAGUGAGAAUGCUGGCAUGAGUAGCGUAAAACAUGUGAGAAACGUGUUCCCCGUAAGUCUAAGGUUUCCGACGGAAGGUUAAUCCGCGUCGGGUUAGUCGGUCCUAAGGCGAGGCCGAAAGGCGUAGCCGAUGGAUAUCCGGUUAAUAUUCCGGAACCACGUCGAGUCGUUUGAGCGAGGGGGGGACGCAGAAGGGUAGCCCAGCCUGUUAUUGGAUUCAGGUGCCAAGCCUUUAGGCGAUGAAGUGGGGGUUAAAAGACCCACCGAGCUGAGGGGUGAUGGCGGUGCGCUUUAGCGCCACAAGUGGGUGAGCCCAGGCUGCCGAGAAAAGCCCCUAGCGAGACUCACGUGACCGUACCGCAAACCGACACUGGUAGACGGGUAGAAAAUACCAAGGGGAUCGGGAGAACCCUCGUUAAGGAACUAGGCAAAAUAGAUCCGUAACUUCGGGAGAAGGAUCGCCGCAUUAGGGUGAGAUGACAUGCUCUUUCGAGCCCGAAGCGGCCGCAGUGAAAUGGCUCUGCCGACUGUUUAUCAAAAUCACAGGUCUCUGCAAAACCGAAAGGUGAUGUAUAGGGGCUGACGCCUGCCCAGUGCCGGAAGGUUAAGGGGAGAGGUUAGCGCAAGCGAAGCUUUGAACCGAAGCCCCGGUGAACGGCGGCCGUAACUAUAACGGUCCUAAGGUAGAUUUCAAGCUGCCUGCCUCGGCGGCAACGUCGAGGGCAAUAGCCGGCUGUAUGCGGGAAACCCCUGAGAGCCUGAUCUACUCGGAGGCAAACGUCCUCCAGUAACAAUGAUCAGGAUUGGGCAAUCCGCAGGAAACCCACGCAUGUGGGGAUCCUCAGAGACUAAACGCCGGCCAUCCAGUCGCGAAGGAGAAGAUCAUGGAACUCGAUCCGCAAUGGGUCGUUGGUUUCGUAGAUGGCGAAGGUUGUUUUUACGUGGACGUCAAUCCCCAUCAAGAAAUGGCGAUUGGCUACCAGGUUCUGCCUGAGUUUCGCGUGGUUCAACACGAACGUGAUGUGCAAGUGCUGUACAGUUUGAAGCGAUUUUUUCACUGUGGCGUCGUCCGCCGCAAUCAUGAAGAUCGCUACGAAUUGCGAAUUCGUAAGUUGUCUUGCUUGUUGGAAGUCGUGGCGUUCUUCGAACGCUAUCCCCUGAAAACAAAAAAGCAGGUAGACUUCAGAAAAUUCGCUCAGAUCAUCCGCAUGAUGACUGAAAAACGGCAUCUGGCACAGGAUGGUCUGGAACAGAUUAUUGACAUCACGUUGACCAUGAACCGGGCGGAUAAGCAGAAAGCUGCCACCAUCUUACAAGAUCUUCACACUAAGACUGGAUGAAGAGAUAGUCCACGCCUGCCAGAAAUGGCUGGAAUCAGUGAGCGAAAUUCCUUGUCGGGUAAGUUCCGACCCGCACGAAUGGCGUAACGAGCGGAGCACUGUCUCAACGAGGGACCCGGUGAAAUUGAAGUACGCGUAAAGAUGCGCGUUACCCGCAGAAGGACAAAAAGACCCCGUGGAGCUUUACUGUAGCUUGGCAUUGCGUUAGGGCUUGGUUUGUAGAGGAUAGCUGGGAGACUGAGAAGCUGGGGCGCUAGCCUCGGUGGAGUCGUCAGUGGAAUACCAGCCUGGCGAAGUCUUGGCCCUAACCUGCGUCCGUGAUCCGGCGUGGGAACAGUGCCAGGUAGGCAGUUUGACUGGGGCGGUCGCCUCCCAAAAUGUAACGGAGGCGCGCAAAGGUACCCUCAGGCUGAAUGGAAACCAGCCGAAGAGUGUAAAGGCAUAAGGGUGCUUGACUGCAAGACCUACAAGUCGCGCAGAGACGAAAGUCGGCCUUAGUGAUCCCACGGUUCCGAGUGGAAGGACCGUGGCUUAACGGAUAAAAGCUACCCCGGGGAUAACAGGCUAGUCUUGCCCAAGAGUUCACAUCGACGGCAAGGCUCGGCACCUCGAUGUCGGCUCGUCGCAUCCUGGGGCUGGAUUAGGUCCCAAGGGUUGGGCUGUUCGCCCAUUAAAGCGGUACGCGAGCUGGGUUCAGACCGUCGUGAGACAGGUCGGUCUCUAUCCUCUGUGGGCGUAGGGAAUUUGCGAGGAGCUGCCCCUAGUACGAGAGGACCGGGGUGGACUGACCUCUGGUGUGCCAGUUGUCGCGCCAGCGGCAUUGCUGGGUAGCUAAGUCGGGCAAGGAUAACCGCUGAAAGCAUCUAAGUGGGAAGCCUGCCUCAAGAUAAGAUUCCCCACCAGGUUAACUGGGUAAGUGCGCCGGGAGACCACCGGCUUGAUAGGCGGCACGUGUAAGCACAGCAAUGUGUUCAGCGAAGCCGUACUAAUGCACGAGGGCUUAACCUU